GAAAGAAAUAAUGAAGUUGAAGCUUGACAGCGAGAGCUCACAGAAGGCAUGCAAGCUACAGAAAAAGCAUGGUAAAAAGAAAAGCCACGUCAAUGAAAGCAAUGCCCUAUUGGAAAAGCAAAACAAUGUCGAACAACAUUUAGGACAAGACGCUCCAACCCUAGAUGAGGCUCCAUUACAACAACAUUUAGAUUCUGCUCCACCCUUUGAUUGUAACGAG
This 220-nucleotide unclassified non-coding RNA is filed under the name Hevea brasiliensis (rubber tree). Lineage: Eukaryota; Viridiplantae; Streptophyta; Magnoliopsida; Malpighiales; Euphorbiaceae. The record is from RNAcentral.